UUUCUAGCUGUUAUCUUGGCUUUGAAGUCUUGUAGGAGCACUAUUUUUUUUUAUUGUUUUUACUUGGUUACUUCUUCAUUCUUCUCCUUGCUUCCUUUGAACCUGAGGCCUCUGCUGUAUACCCCAGAGAGUUAACUCUGUUUCCUUCAUUCUUUCAAUGUUAGGAAGGGCCCCUGUCCACAUUGUCUCCAUAGUCCCAUAGUUCAUCCUGAAAAUGUCAGGGGCUCAGAGUUGUAAGACACAGUGGCUACAGAAACUGCAUUAAUGACUUGGAUUAAAGAGCGGUGAUACAGGAGAGACGGCUCAGUGGUUUAAAACACUGACUGCUCUUCCAGAGACCUGGGUUCAAUACCCAGCGCCCACAUGGCAGCUCACAACUGCUCUAACUCCUGUUUCAGAGGACCUGACACUCUCACAUAGACAUGCAGGCAAAACACCAAUCAGUGCUCAUAAAAUAAAAAUAAAUAAAAAAGUGUUGAGGAGGAAGAGGAGGAGGAUGAAGAGGAGGAAGAGGAGGAAGAGGAAAAUAGACAGCCAGACUUCUAAGAAAUUGGGUUUUGAUGGAAAAGUGUGCAAUGAUUCAGUUGUAAUGAUUCAGCCUGACAGGAGGUCCCAGGCCAGGACAGUGUUUAUGUUUCCUGGUCUGAUCAAGGAUGGGGCUUGGCUACGGUAGCCCAGGUCUGACUGUUCAAGUCAGAUUUAAACGGUAGACUUCUGGGCAUUGAAUCCAAAUAUUCUUUGGAUGUGCACAAGGGUAUGCUUUCUUUCUUUUUUCUUUUAAGAAAUAGUUAUGUGACCUCCAGCUGCUUUAGACACAUAUCCUUAUGCAGGCCCUCAAAGGGCCUGUGUGUUGAGAAGGCACAGUGUCCCAUAGGGUAAUGAUCGAUAGACCCCAGCUCCACUGAGAAAAUAGGAAGUAGUGUUUAAAUGACAAAGUGAAAAGAGAGGGCACGAUGGCGCCUAAGGGAUUGAGGUCUUUAUUAUAGAGAUAAGGGAAAAACAGUCAGAGACAUCAGUAAGAGUUCAGAGUGAAAGUGGCCAGACUGAGCAGGGCCAUGUGGAGAGAGAGAGAGAGAGAGAGGGAGGGAGGGAGGGAGGGAGGGAGGGAGAGAGGGAGAGAGAGAGAGAGAGAGAGAGAGAGAGAGAGAGAGAGAGAGAGAGAGAGGAGCUGCCGACUAAGACGAGCAGGCAGCUUGGAGCAACAGACUGGCAUAGUCAAAAUGGCUGAGCUAUGUCUGAGCAAGGGAUGCUGGGACAACCUGGCAGCCAGUGUCAGCUUUGACAAAUUAAUAAGCACCUUAGUUAGCUGCUUGUCUAGGGUUUGAGACCUAUUGGUGUCCUAACCCUGGAGUCAACCCCGAAGGGACCACAAGAGUGAUGUGGUACCAUGCCCCACAGUGGCACUGAGUGGCAGUUACUUGGGGGCAGUUGAUGGGCAGCAGUUAGAACCUGAGGCAGUUGGGAAAGGUCGUUCCACGGAACAGCUGGGGAUGAUCCCAGCAAGUAGGGCCUUUAUACUCUGGCAGACGUGUGGGUCACAGGCUGGGGCUGAGGGAGGCUCACAGAGCCUGCCAUGCGUUAAGAAGCACACGUCGCUUUAUGCUCUUAAGUAUGUGUCGAUGAGUUUGGGAUCAAGUCCUGUGAACAGCUGGAAGAAUGAGCCCCAAGAGCAGCGGGGUGUGGCAGAGAGGGGCUGGCGAAGGGUCUGGCCUCAGAGGACAAGCUGUGCUCUUCUACCUCCAAUGACAGGGCUGCUUGGGUGUAUCUGAAGCCUAAAUCAGAGCUUGGUGGCCUGGCUGUCGUCAGAUGCAGCCAGGGGAGGCCAACAUGGUGUUACCAACAAGCCAAGAAGCAAAUGGGUAGACAGAGUAAUUUCUAGAGCAGUAUCUUAAUGGGGGAGCAGGGUCUGGCCACGUGGGUUGGACAUGACAAUAAUUGUGGCUUCUGUUUCGCAGAGGCUUACUGAAAUGUGAAGAGAAGGACGGAAGUUUCUCAACACCUGGUGUAUCCAGUGGGCAGCAGCCACACUGCUUUCCUUGGUUGUUUGCCUGACUCCAAGCUACUCACCAUAAAGCAUUUAGAGUUGGUCCCUUUGAUGUCCUCUUCUGACCUCCAGACCAGUUCCAGCCUUGCUUACUGAAGGGGGCUUUUCCUCACCUCACUCAAAGGCUUCCCUAGGACUCAGCAGAAGAGUCGCAUCCUAGGUUUCCCAAGAUCCCAGGGCCUCCCUACUGCACUGUCCCUGCUUCCUGUCACUUUGUUCAUAGUCUUUAAUCACAAGGACUUUUCUAGCUGGGUGCGGUUCCCCACAGCAGAUUCCCCUGUCGGAGCCUUCGUCCUGCCACAGCUUGGCGUGUACACAUACUUGUGUAUACGGCGCAGACAAAUGGAACACAGCAGAGUCUCUCCCGUUUCCGGCUUAAUGUCUUCUGCUGGGAGGAAAAUGGUGCCAGAGCAGUUCUGAGGUUUCUAGCCUGAAGCUGCAGUCUCAAAACAGAUUUUGUGGGACUCCAAGAAACUUUUACAACACUGGCCAGGUGGUUUCUCAAAAUAACCAGCUCUUUGUGCAGUGUCCUUUGAUUUCUUUUCCCACACUGGACACACCGCUCUCAACUUCUCCCUUAAUGUUCCCCUCUGUUUUCUCUUCCUCUAAGUUAUUUGCAGGAUUUAUUUUGUGAUUAAUCUUUUGCCACCUGAUUGAUAAUCGAGGUGGUGUUUUGAAGUUUUUUUUUUUUCUCUAAUGUGUGCAUUUUUUUUCCUCUUACUAUUUAUGUUCUUUAAGGGAUUAAAAAAAAAACACACACACACAUUGUGGACUUUGUACUUCUCCACAGCACCUCACAAACAGAAAUAAAACAAACCCAAUAAAAUUCUACUAAAGCGGCCGAUGGAAAGGAUUCAUGUAUAUUGGUUCUUAUAAUGGAUCGCAUGUAGCUGUGCUUUUUUUUUUUUUUUUAAACCAUUUUAAUGACUCAUGUCCUUAAAUCCUUGAGUUCACACCUGGACCGUUAAGAGAUUUGAUCUUUUAAGACAGAGUACGAUAAACAUAAGUUAAUCCUAAUUAAUCCACGGCACCGUUAGAUGCUCCAGUAAAUAGCAAAACAAGGGAGCAGGGAAUAAGGAGUUAACAUUUUUGGCUGACUUGUGCAUCCUUGAAUCCGACCAAUGGAUGGAUUCGCCAUUGCACCGCAGGUUUUCAAUGGGGGAAGUACUAUUUGGAUUAUAGAAAUUUAUAUCACGGUCAAGCAUUUCAUUUCAGGCAUGUCAGGUCUCAGACCUGGGACAAAGGGCUAACUGAGGUGCUACUAACAUUACCAAAGCAGAGAAAGCCUGGGAGGUUUGCUCAGUAUCCCUCAACCCCUACCUGUUGUGGGGUCCUCCUGGCUGUCAUACCCUGACUCCGACCCUAACUUUCUCCAGCCUAGGGACUGGGCUGCCCUUUCCCCUGCUAAGCUGUCCUUCCCUAUAUAGCCUAGCCAUUUUUGCUACGCUGGUCCUUUUGCCCUUUUGGUCUCCUGGCUCACAGAUCCCCUCUCUUUGCUCUCCCCUCUGUCCUCAACAUGGCCCUGCUCAGUCUGUUGGUCAUGUCCACUCUGGACUCGUCCACAUGUCUGUCUCUCCCUCUCUACGUGCUCUCCCUCAUAUCUACAAUAAACCACCUCCUCCGCCAUACCUAGGAGCAGUCAUGUCCUUCUUUAAUUGAAUUCACUGGAUACGGUCCUGAGGCAGGCAUAGUAGCACCCACUGAAACCAAUUUGCAACAAGAGUAAUGCAAAGUAGGAGGAGGGGCUUGUUUCUGAUUUCUAUUAACAACAGGAGUGACUUUCAACCAAGCACUCCUCCAGGGCCUCCUAGACUCGGUCUAUAGACAAUGAAUUCUGUCAGGUUUCUUCCAGUUUUAAUACUGGGAGAUUUACUUCCUGAUCAUGGUGGUGCACCUGAAGGUCACUGUGAUGAAGUGGGAAAUGACCUGUGAGAAACUUGGGUUGGGGGUGGGGGUGGGGCAGUAAAAUAUAUAAAAGAAACUUAAGCUUAACCUCAGAAAUUUACAAGUAUCACACAGAGCUUUAAAAAAAAAUGUGUUAACCUUUGCUAUAUCAAGUAGAGGGUCUUUAGAGCCGAGGACCAGUGCUUAGCCUUGAGAUCCAUCAUUGUGUACAGAAAGAUUUGGUCUCCAAGGAUUUGGGGGAGACAAUGUAUGAAAAGAACGGGCUAAAAGCAUCUUCAAAAACAGGUGGUAGGAUUAUCAGGAAGAUAAGGUACCUUAAAUUCACUUUUAAUAUGGUGACAAUUUCACCAUUAACUUUAUAGCAUUGGGCUAAAUACUUGCCAAAGACACUUAGAAAGGACAUUUCUGGAUCUCAUUUUCUGUAGAAUAGAGUUGAAGUCGAUGAUCCUUGACUCCCUCCCAGCCUUGGCAACAUGCGAUUUAAUUUGGAAUCCCUGAAUCAUUGAGGACUUCCCGACUCGAUCCUCUCGCCUCUUUGGUUUACUGACUUUUUCUCUGGGGUUAGAAGGGCCUAAGGCUAAGAAUGGCUGCAACGGACACCAGCUCCCAAGAAAUGCUGCUCAAAUGAAUUCUGUCAUUUCUCCAGCCAGGGACUUCCUCUGCCAAUGCUGAUGGGUCCAAAGAGAAAACCUCACACAGUUAGAGCACUAACAACCAGUUACUAGUGGAAUAAACCAGCAGUUUCUUGGAACGUUUCUCAAGAUCUUUGCUCCUUAAGUCUCCUACUCACAAUGGCAGAUUUCCUCAUUAGCGACUGUCCUUUCAAGUGAAGAAAAAUGUCUCUCUUCUACCUGGGUUGUUUCCUUCCUCUCAUGAGCUGGACGAUUGUUCAAGAGGGUGACAUUUUGUUUGGGUGGUCCAGUAGUCUGAAGCUUUGAGACGUGCUUUUGUUGGUUAUUGUCUUCUCAUAUUGACCAAUGAAGGAGUUCUUAUAGAUUACCAAAACUGAUAAUGAUCAGUGUGAUUACCAAUGACUGUAAUGUCUCUCAGGACUCUCAGACACACUGUGCCUAUCUGUACAUGUCUGCGAGGGUUUUAAGAGUAAACGUAAUACACGUGUCUUCUGAUCACUGCUCAUCUCUGUCAAGGUGUGUGGUACCACAUCAAACUUAUUUAAGCAAAACUGAAAAUUUGACAACAUAAUUCAGAAGCCUUGAAAUAUGACAGCUUCAGUGUUGAUUAUACCCAGGAGCUUAAUUAAAUAUGAUCAAGAUUCUCACUAAAUCUUGAACUUCCCUGUCUCUUUGUGUUGACACUGUUUCUGAGUAAGACCCCCCAUUCAUGGUGGCAAAUGUGGCUUAUGUCAUAGUUCUCUGAGACUCAGAAAAAAAAAACCUUUAUUUCUUUAUUCCAGUUAAUGUUUUGUUAACAGGUCUGCCUGGGCAAACAUGGAUCACAGCUUUCUUUUGCUGAAGUUAUGUAGAACUGUGGAGAGAAAACCCCCAAAAAGCCUGGCCAGGAUGGUACCCCAGGCAUUAGCACUGUGUAUGAAUGGGGAGGGAGGUACCACAUAGGUGUUGGUUGACUGUGGUUCCUCACAUAGUUAAGGGCACCUUUCGAGGAGAAUCCGAGAGGCCCUUAGACCACAUUGUUGUAUGUCAAUGCUUCCUGUACAGUUGCUUGAUGCCCAGUGUCUUCUGCUAAGCUUCCACAAGGAAGCUUGAUUUAUUCACUUCCUAAAGUGUUUUUUGCUGUGAUAUGGUGACUCACUGGGCAAGGAAUUGUUUACCACUGGAGUUGUCGCUUUUCUUAGACGUAUUUAAGCAUGACCUCUGCCACCCAAAGAUUUCCAAGCAAAGUGGGGACAGUCUAGACUCCCACAUCAGGGACCCUGGAUUCAAAUUUAAGCUCAUUUUCUGAACUUAAAAUUCCCAUAUCACCCCAGCUUCCUGAUUGGUGCAAAAACCAUCACUUUAUUGUUCUAACUGUAGAAGGCUUUGGGGGAGGGUAGCCGUCUGAAGGAGACUGUGAAUGGAGGGCACCUCUGUAAAAAUCCAAGUUGUAUCUAGAAGAAAGGUCAUGUGCCGUAUGCUUUUAUACCCCACAGAAAUUUGACUGAGCAAGUUUUAAAUGUUUCCCCUUUAUUAAAGUUUCCAUUUAUGCUCAGUCAAGACAGAACUGCCUGCUUUUGCUUCCACUGUGUGUUAUAGCCUCAUGGGUCUACGCAAGGCCCUGAGUGGCCCCUCGAGAGACAGAGAGCCAACUUUAUUUCACGGGCACUAGUGAGCCCCGCUGUCUUCCCUUCCUCCGGGAUCUUGUGUUAGAAGACAGUAUGGUUCUGGGUACCCGCACCAGAGUGAUGUGAAAUGCACACGCCUCGCACGGCGGAGUGUUUAUGGGCUGUGAUCGUCAUGUGCCCUCAGACACUCUUAGGGAAUGCUGCCAUUUGAAGACAUACGUGAUUGUCUUCUGUUUAAAGGAUUUUUUUUUUAAAGAUGAUUUCUAUGAGCAAAGCAAGUCCUGGGCUAGAGUUCCCUAUAUACUUGUAAGGUUUGACCCAGGGUGGGGAUGCCAUGCUCUAGGAUGCAGCCUCAGGCCUGAGCCGGUUAGAAGAGGAGCUAUGGGACCCAGAAUAAACUGAGAAGGACAACUGCCAUUCUCUCUUAUUUGCCUUGUGGGGCUCCUAAAGCUUGAACUAUAAUUCAGAAACAAAGUAUCCCUACUGUGGCCUACCUUCUGUCAAAAGCCAAGGGGAGAAAAAAAGAUCUCUCUAUCUCCUUAAGGGGAAACAUUAAGGAAAACACCACGUGUGAUAAUCAAGUAGACAGCUUAUUUGAGAAAGUCCUGUUAAUGUUCCCAGAGACAAAGAACACACCCUCUUAUGACUGGAUUCCAGUGUAAACACAUCACAAGGUUCCUCCUGCCUUACCCUUGCUCCGAUUAGGGCUGUGAGUGUGUGUGCACCGGCCAAGCUAAAUUGUUGGGCAGUUGUGAUAACUGUGUCCCAGGCCAGAGAUCACAAAUGAACACACUGUAUGUCGAAGCCAGCCAGCCAGGAUGUGUUAUUUGAUUAACGCGGUGUUUUAGGAAAACUCACAUUGGCCAUAGAUGUCAAAAAAGCUGUGAGUUUCCCAGAGCUGGAGACUGCUUCUCUUGAACCCCCCCCCCAACCCCCAAAUAAAACAACCUAGAAGACCAGGCGUAUGGUCAGAGCUGGCUCUGAGAUGACAUUGUAGGUAAAAUGGUUAAAAUUGGGCUCUGCCCCUUGUGGGGAGCCUCACGCUGUAAUGUUACUGCAGAAGGAAGGCAACCCUUCCUUCCAAACUUGCCUUCUGCUCUCCCUUGCUUUAUCUAGGCAAAUCCUUUCUGAGGGAAGUUGUCUAGCUCUUCUCAGGCACAACGCUCACCCUGUGGAGGUGAGCAGGAAGACCUCUAGGCAGACUUGGUGCAUUUCCUUCCAACAACUGUUUGGACCCAAUUGUGAUAUGACCAAAGCCAUGCUGAAGUUCAAAGGGAGAUGAGUUUCUCCUCCUACCCCCACCCUCCAACUAUUUGUCACUUCUCUUUCUCCUAGGUCAAACCCACUAGUUUUACUUUCCGUCUUACUUUUCAAAAUCUCCCGAAGAUGUACGCAUUCUUGAGGAAUGGCGGCUAUAAAGUUCGCCGAAUGGCAUUUGUCGCAAGCUCUGGCCAACAAAAAGCUUUAUAGAGUGGCUUGAUUUUGAACCUCUAAGUCAUUUCUUUCUCUUCCCCCUCCAUCCCCUCUCUUUCUUUCUCCGGACCACACAGACAAUGGGAUAGACUUUGAGAAAGAGAAAAAAAAAAAGCUUGCUUUCUAGGUAUAACCAGAAACAAAAAGUAAUUUGAGAAAUAUGAAGCACCUCAUCUGCCAUGUGUGAACACAGCUGUAUAGCUAUUUGCUAUGGCAAGAUAGGAUGACCAGUCCUGACGUUUGAAAGGGAGCCAUAGUGUCAGAAUGGGAAGUGCGAGUUGUUCUGACUUUGGGGGUGGUAGAAAGGGGAGAACAUUGGAGCCAUUACCCUGGCUGUUGGGGGACGGGUGAGGUGGGGAGGAGUGUGGGCACCUUCUCCCAAAGAGGAAGCACUGAAAAGGACCUGGAUGGAUGCCCGGGUCUCCUGCUGUGGCAACCCGGGGUGGGCAUUCUAUUCCGGGUUAGCAGAGCAUAAUCUGGAAAGUCCACGUUUUUUGCCAACGGCUUCUGUGCAAGUUUGCUUUUUUGGGGAAACUGGAAGAGGAGGUUAAUUUUCGUGGCUCCCAGGGUGUGGAAGUGAUGGCUGCAGGGUGGGAGGCGUGUGUGUGUGUGUGUGUGUGUGUGCGUGCGCGUGUGCGUGUGUGUGUGUGUGUUUGUGGAGGGUGGGAGGCGAGGCGAGACCCAUAGUGUCAUUGGGUACGCACAGAAAUGCCGGGGUCACCCUCAUUUUCUCCUGGUUUUCAGGGAGGGAGGCUGGGUGGCAGGUUCCAAGAUGCUUCUGUGCGGUCCACUUCGUAGAACCAAGUUGGGCAGGGUUCUAUGGGGGCAAGUGCAGCUCUCUCUUAGUGACUCGUUUAAGCUCACUAUUGGUUUCCAAGGACUGGAAAAAAAGAAAAAAGCCAGAAGGUGGUUAGCAAAGAUACUAGAAAAGGACAGAUAAAGGGAGUGAGGAGGCUCUGGUUGAAGGUGCCAGUAUAUCUAGGAUAUUCUGAGAUCCUUUUGCUUUUCAGCUGUCUUGCUCCCCCCAACGUUAAAUGAACAAUUAAGGUGUCUAUGAAAUUUUUUCCUAAAAUUUGGUGAUGAACGCACCCUAGCUCUUAGUACAGUUAUGCAAAACAUGGUGAGAGCCCUGCAGACUUGUGUCCUGCAUAGCCUUCCUUUCCUGUGUCUGUAAACUGGAGGUAAUGGCAGCCUCUGUCUACUAUGCGGGACAGGAGGGGGUCUGGAGACAGGGAAGCUCAGAGCACUCAGCCCUGAAGCCCCUUCAACCCCCACCCCUACCCCGCCCCAUACCCAGUAUGUGUGGCUGUUUUACUUUGAAUGGCCCUGUAAGGGACCCUCACAUGUUCUAUGGGGUGCACCGAUGACUCUUUGUCUCCUUAGCUAGGGUCUCCUUGAUUUAAACCUGAAUCAUAGCUUCCUUCCCGGUGGAAACCCACUUCAUCCACAGGAGACAGUGAGAACUGGAGUAUUGCUUGGGGGCCCAGGGCCUUGUUGAACUUCCCGGGCCCCCUCCUGCUCUGGCUCUCUGAGUUAGUCCAGUCCUUCUUCUGCUCUGUAACUCUGAUUCCUUCCCCCCAGAGCAGCACAGGGCCCCUCCCCUAGGACGUAUUGUGCACAUCCUAUCUGUGUCCCGGAGGGAUUUCCUUCUCAGCUGAGAAGGCAGCCACGUCUUUCAGGUGCUGGUACCUCCAACAGGCACAUUAAGGUCCUCCAACCCAUACAGCUAUUAAACAUGAGCAAGUGACCUUGGGACACGAGGUUGUCUUUCUUUUAAGGACAGGGACAAGCAAAAAUGUGUGCUUGGCCCACUUCCAAAGAGACAGGCUUUCAGCAUCAGCAGGCAUUUCCCUUGUGGUAGCUCCCUGCUGAUGUCCUCUCAGAGCAGCUGUCUGGCGUGGGAGCGACAGACCCUUUGCCACUGUCCCUUACAGUCCUGCUUUCUGGUCCUCUUUGCCACAUCCGUGUCUCCCAUGGACGUGGUACUCACUCCUCACCAUGGAGAGAUGACUCCAAUUAUGUCCCUAGCUUGGGGACCAUAGUUCUACUUGAUGCCUCUCAUCGACAUACAAGCCCCUUCCCCUCUGAGGACAAAGUGAAAAAUCCCUUGUUUUGACCCAGAAGGCUCUGCAUAAUUCUGGUGCACAGCUCUGAACUCCUCCUACACUAUUUCUCUCCUGGGUUGUCUACUCUUUUGGCCCUAGGUCUGUGGAGGGGGCACCGCACUCCUCACUCCAGGAAAGCGUUCCUCCCUGUCUUUGCAGAGUUAUUUCUGCGGGAGACACAGCUCAACAAUGACACUUCCGAGAAGACAGGGUUCAGCUCCCCCCUUUUGUCUCCGUGGCUUUGAUGAUCUGCACCUGCACUCUCCUUCGUUCAUCUGCCUGCUUUGCUGCCCAUUUUCCCUCGCUGGGGCUGGUCUGUGAGACUUCCUGUUUCACUGACACCCACAGUGGUACCUGGCAUGUAGUUGCUCAAUGAUGCCUGGGAUAAAUGUCUUGCUUUUUGAUCUGGCUUGUGUACCUAACACCAAGUGAAACGGUGGCCUCAGUUUUACUUUUGUUCGGUCUUUAAAGUACCUGGGAUAUAAAAAAGUGCCGGGCGGAUGGCCCCUGGCUUAGUGUUUGAAUGUGAUUGGAAAAGAAGACUCACGGAAUAACGGUUUCCGAGCAGUGCCGGGAGUGGGUCUUCUUUUACGUGCCGUGUAAAACUUGAGGGUAUGUGGCGGGGCGAGCGAGCUGUGAUUUGGACUCCCUUCUACCGCUGCUGCUAAGUAGCUGUGGCCUCUUAGGACAGGCAGUUUAUGUGUUCUCCAGAGGAGCAAAUCACCACGCAACCCCUGCAUUUCUUGUUUCUCAUACCUGUGGCCACAAGAAGUCCACCGGGGCCGUUUGGGGGAUUUCUCCCACUUCUAGAUCCCAGACCCGGGUCCUGCGCAACUGUAUUAUUUCCGUAUUGGCCAUGGGAGCCCAGAGCGAUGCUGCUCAGAAGCUGAGCGUUAUACUUUCCACCAGGGGGAAGAGACACAGACGAGCAAAGGGACAGUCUUAGUGAGAAGCAGAGAGAAGCUGGGAAAGAGGAGAGCAUCUGGAGAGCUGGAGUUUUGUGCCGUGCUGGGCCCGGGGGGGGGGGUGUCUGUGCCGGGGCUCCUUAUGCACUGAGGCACCUUGCUCGUGAGUGAUGGGAUCUGGGAAGGCUCACUGCUGAUUGGAGAAAGAAGAGCUAUCCACGGGUCCGAGUCCGUAACGGCCUAGGCAUGGCCCACAAUUUCCGUUUAUUCUCAUGGAGGACAACUUGCUGCUUGAUGACAGUUCCUGUGCUGUGGUGGGGGACGGUUUCAGGGUCUUUAGGAAGUUGGACUUUCUGGGUGAAUGGAAGAAGUUUCUGUCUGCGAAUAGACACAGACUCGUGAGUAAAAUGAGCAGUUCAAGGGCACACCAAUUGCACCUGGAGGUAAAGGUGCUCAGCUGUCUCACGUUUAUUGGGGUUCACUGGCCUUUUUGUUGCUUCUGUGUAUUGCUCUCUCCUCUGUUUCCUAGCACAUAAAGCAUUAAGGCCGGCGAAUGUCAGAAGCCCUGGUUUUUAGCUGUCCAGGGCUAGCUAGAUUUGUAGUUACGAUUUUUCACACUUGGUGUGACAGGGGCCUACCUGAAUACUUGCUGAAAGUGGAGAGAUAAGUUUGCGUCCGCACUUAUUGCCAGUUCUGUCCUUCCACUUUGUCUGAGUGGGAUCCUGCCUCAUCUAGUGUCCCUCCCCCCCAAGCUUUGCUGGCAUCAGGUUGAGCGCUGAGCACACCGAACCCCUUACUGACUCUCUGCUUCUCUCAAUGGAAGUAUGUUCACUUUCCCUGAAGAUUCUGGAAACAGCCCUGCCACGAGGAAGACUUUACAAAGUUGUCUUUGAUAGAUCAGGCACCCCCCUCCCCGCACUCCACCACAAACCCCCUUCCCCAAUAGCACAGUGCUGCUUUGUACCCUGGACCAGCACUGCUCACUGCCGGACCAUGCUCACCCUUGGGGGUUGGGAAUGAGAGUGGCGUGGAAUCAAUGAAUCAAUAGCUCAGUCUCCCGGAACAGGUGAGAAUUCUGCAGCAAGCUCUUUUAUUGAUCCUGGGGGGGGGGCGGGAAGGGGGUGCACCCUUCCACCCGCGUCCCAUUGGCCCCAAGUAAGCAUGUCUUCCAAGUGGCAGUUCCCCAUUGGCUGGCAUUGUCUGCGUCACCAAUCUUUAGGCUCUCGGUUUUCAAUUAGGUCCUCAUAGGAGUUGCCUCCGAGGCUGUGUGACCCCAAGGUCUAUGCAGAGGCGGCCACCGCUUUGUCAGGGAGGCCUGCAACACAGCAAUCCAUUUUUAGUACCAAGAAUCUCAGGAUACCAUAUCCUAGCACCAAAGCAUGGUCCAAGGUCAAUGAGACGCCAUGUCUGGGGCCGCACCAAGGAUCCCGUGAAGUGACAAAGUUUUUAGCAGUAUUCUCCUGACUGGCUGCUGGGUGGAACAUAUAAGGAAGCCUAAGGGGGCUUUUGGGAGGCCUUGGAUAACAGAAGUCAUGGUUAUUUUGGUUGAGGGAGAAGUGGACGUGGAGCUGAUAUGUAUUCAGCCGUAGAGUUUGCAGAACUCAGCCCUUGUUUGGUUGGGUGGAGGCAGGAGGUAAGAAGUGGAAGGUGACCCCGUGUCUUUGUCACCAGUGGCUUCUUUAUUGACAUGCCAUUUGGCAAGAGGAGACCCUCAGGAAGGAGGAACUGCAUGGGGGCAGGAGAAGGGGGGGAAGGAGGAGAGUCUGUGUCAGGAGGGAGGAUUGUGACAGGAAGAGGCAGAUUCUGGUUGGUUCUUGGUCCUGCUGAGAUGGGCCUUAUUGAAACUGUUAUGUAGAGAUGGGGAGUGGGACAGGAACUCUGAGCAGAGCUGCACUCUGGAGGUAGGAAUCUCAGGAAUGGAUUCAUGCCACAGUAGUGGGUAAGGCCUUUGGAAGGGAGUUUCUGGUAUGAAAGUUAAAGCAAAGUUUGAGUUUAGAUCAGCUCGUUUGUGUAGAAGGCUGGUGAUAAGAGUAGGAACUCCUAAAGGAGAGCUUAAGUAAGCUGGCCAGAACGGGUCCGAAGGUGAGCAGAGAGCCAGCUGGGGCCCUGGUAAAUGGACCCUGGAACAAGCAAGCAUCACAAUAGUUCACAGCAGUCAAGGCUUCUUGAAAAAAAAAAAAAAGAGAGAGAGAGAGAGAAGCAGGCAUAUGACUGGCCAGGUUGCUGGGGACUUAGAGAAGUGUCCUUUUGGGGGUACCAACUCAGAUUGGAAGUGUUAAGAAGUGAGAGAAGCUGACUGGGGGUGUGCCAAUGGGCAAAUGGGUCAAAGGAGGCGCUGGAAUGGGAAGAGGGAGAGAGGUGGCUGGGCGGGCACUUGGGAGAGAACUCCUCAGGGAGAGAGGAGUGCUUUUAAGUAUCGAGGCAGAGCCUUGCACAGAGAAGCUGUCCAAGGGGCUGGCAUUGGGGACGGAAGCCUGAGAAUCUGUGUAGAGCUGGCAUGAGAAGCAUCGGCCAUAGAUCUUGCUCCGUUGAGGGCAGAGGAGAUGCUUCAACAGGAUAGAGCUUCCUGGCUGCCUUUUGGAUGGAGCGAUGCCAGGAUGUGACUGGAAUCCCUGCCUCGUGGCUUCUUGUUUUCUCCAAAACGAUUUAGAUGAGCUCAUAGUGCCCAUGGGACAGCAAAGGAGCUGGAGGUUAGAGAAGCCCACAUGCAGCUGUCAUGGUGGAGAGGGAGGGAAGGGGGUGCCUGUGACUCCAUGUGGGGGAGUAGGGGGAGUGCUCGUUUUCAUCUGAUGUAAGUAAGUUUCCAUCAGAUGGAAAUAAAGUAACUUUUAUCUCUUGUCUUAGUGGACUUGGUCGGGGUGAGUUGGGUGAGUGAUAGGGAGACAUAGGUUUCAUUGUCACAAGUCAGCCCUGCAGUGCCUGAGGCUGGAGGUGACAAUGGCCCCUGUCCUCUGAACUUGGCAUUGCCACCCUUAGCUGGGGAAGCAGUGAUCAGCUCUGCAGGAGCCCACCCUGAGGCUAAUGCCUGCCGCUGGGUACUAGAAUCUUUCUCAAAGACACCGCACUGCCUGGAGAAACCUCAAGAGUACAAGAGACUUUAGAAUCUGAAGUAACACUGUUUUACUCGCCUCACUUUUGAUUUUUGUGCCCGGCUCAGUGUCUUCUGGGAAGGCUAGGGUGACAGCAGGAGCCGUGUGUCAGUGGCAUGGGAUUUGGUGAGUUACUUCAUCAGGAAUCUAGGCUUGCACCCCGAAGUUAAAGAUUGCAUACUAGAGAGAGAGUCACUUUCCCAGAAAGUUAAAGUGGCACGGGGGUGGGGGGUGCUCUCUUGCUCUCUGGUGUCCUCCACCCUGGCUGUGAGAUCAUAGUGGCUAUGGACUGUUCGGUUGUCUCACCCAGACCUCUGAGGAAGGUGGGAUGGGCUUGUGUCCCACAUUUUCAGUGUUUCGCCGGCAGUCGGUUUGCUAACUGGUACUUACUCUGUUUGUAGCUUUCUUUUCUCUUUAAAGUUUUAUUCUUUACAUUUUGUCUUUGGUGUCUCUUCCAUAGAUCGUACCUUGAUCACAGUUUCCCCUCCCUCUACUCUUCCCAACUCUCCUAUUCCACAUCCACUUCUCUGUUUCCCCUCAGAGAAGAGCAGGCUUCCCAGAGCUAUCUACAAAACACGGCUUAACAAGUUACCAUAAGACUGGGCCCAAACCUUCACAUCAGGACUGGCUGAGGCUACCCAGUAGGAGGAAAAGGGUCCCAGGUGCAGGCAGAAGACUUGGAAAUACCCCCACUUCCAUUGUUGGGAGUCCCAUAAAACAAGUCACACAAUCAUAGAUAUAUGAAGAGGACCCAGCUUAGACCCAUAUAGGGUCUAUGUUUGCUGCUUUAGUGUUUGUGAUCCCCUAUGAGGCCUCUUUAGUUGAUUCUGUGGGCUGUGUUCUUGUGGUGUCCUCAACCCCUUUGAUUCCUAUAGUCUUCCUUCCCUUCUUUGGUGGGGUUCCCCUGCCUCCGCCUAGUGUUUGGGUAUCUCUGCAUCUGUUCUCAUCAGCUUCUGGAUAAUGCCCCUCUGAUGACAAUUGGGCUAGGCACCAAUUUAUGAGCAUCGCAGAUAAUUAUUAGGAAUGAUUUCAAAGAUCCAUCCAUCCAUCCAUCCAUCCAUCCAUCCAUCCAUCCAUCCAUCCAUCCAUCUACCAACCAGUCAUGUUUGGUUCUAUCCUAAGUCUCUGUGCUAUCCAGCUUCUGGUUCCUGCUCAUCCUGUGGUGUCAGGCUCCCUCUUGUAGUGUGGGCCUCAAGUUGGACCAGUCCUAGGUUGGCCAUUCCCCCAGGUUCCGCAACACCAUAACCCCAGCAUAUCAUGCAGGCAGGACAGAGUGUAGGUCGAAGGUUUUGUGAUUGGGUGAGUGUGUCCCCCAAGUCCCACUGCUUGGAGCCUUGCCUGGUUAUAGAAGAUGGCCAGUUUGGGUACAGCACCCCCCCCCCCAUUACUAGGAGAAUUUGCGAGGGUCACUCUCGUAGAUUCCAGGGAGUUUCCACUGCCACUGCACUAGUAUUCUAUAUCACAUCCCCCACCCCCACCCCACGCCCCCCAAUUCCAGUUGUCUGUCUCUCCCAGUGCUCUCACCCUCUGUCCUUCCCAUCCUCUGCUUGGUCCUUCCUGUUCCUAUCCUCACCCAUCUCCAGUCCACACACAAAAUCUAUUUCCCCUUGCCAGGGAGAUCAAUGUGUACCCACCCCGCUUGAGCCCUCCUGGUUACUUAGCUUCUCUGGGUCUGUGGAUUGUUAGUUCUCAACCCUAGACAUUGAGUUUGCUAUGUACAUUCUUAAAGUUGGAACAUGUUUUUCUUUUUGCUGUGAUAUCAGAAUUUUAUUUUCCAGUCUGCACCAUGGAAACCUUUGGUCUCCUGUUUUGUUUAUUUUCCCCCUUCCAUUGUGCUGAACUUUGUUUCCCAGAGCCAGAUACCACUCUGUCUUCUGACCUCUCUAUUGGGAUGAAGGGAGUUAAGCGCCUGAACCAUUUGAAAGUGUUGGUAUUUAUUAGUAGGGAGAUACCAAAGCCUGGUUUUGCCACAUUAAACCCACGUUGUGCUGGGAAAAGAGUGGAGCAGCACGCCCUCUGCUGGCUUAGCUCAGAAUGCUGCUGCUUACGUACACUUCUAAGGAAGAAAUCAUUUUGCCCAAACCUAGGGAUUUGGCUUCUUCCAAAUCCAAAGGUGCCAUUGUUCUUCAUAUAGACCUCUGGGCUCUAAGUUUUGUCAGUAAAUAGGCAUGUUGUUUAAAAAAAGAAUUCAAGUGUUUCUACUAGGCUGCUCUACCUAUGUCAGGUUCUAAAGAAGCUGGUAAGGUAGCCCAAGGCACAGGGUGUGCCUCCCCCCCCCCCCCCCACACCGAGUCGACCACUUCAGUCACGAAGUAUAAGCUCAGGAUAUCUGCCUUUGAAUUCAGACUGUUUGUCUUGCAUUAGAGUUUUCCUAUGGGACAAUCGGGUGUUUGGCUAAUUGAUUUCUAAGGGCCUUUCCAGCUAUCUGUUACAGGCAAUACCAUCCUGCCUCUCAGGGGCUGGGGAUGCAGCAUCUUUAUUUGAGCUACUGGAGCCCAUGUGGUAAAUGCAGGCAUCCAGGAUUGGCCGACAUAGCAAGUUGCCAGACAUGACAGCCAAUUUGCUGCCUUUGUAAAACUAGGACCUGGUGACUGGGUUUGCUCAGAAAUGCAUAGCGCGCAUGCGCACACACACAAGACCUUCUAGGCUACAGUUCCCCUAAAUUUGCCUUGGUCAAAGUCAUCUGGGCAUCCAGUGUCGUGUAUGUUCUGUUCUGUAUUGCUUGCUAUGCAGUCCAGAAGCCAUUAAUAAUCUUGGCUCCUUCUCAGGACAGCCUGCUAGAUACUUCUGCCACUGUGACUGCCACAGUCGGAGCCAGUGACUCUGCCUCUUGAACAGAAAGAUGAGCUGUGGUGUCUGUCUGUAUGUGCAGCUCGUCUCUCCCCUACCCUCUCUUUUACAGCCAAGUUUCUUGAAAACAGUGCCUACAUCUAUGGCUUCCCUUCCCUAGGGCUCCCUUCCCAUGCUAUGCUACAACUGUUUGGCUCUCUGUAUUGUGUGCACUCUGGAAACCAGCCUCAACCUGCAUGUGACCAAGGCCUGAGGCCAGUUGGUAGCUCUGCCCUCCCCAAUCCUCCUGGUCUCUACACAACGCUGUUUUCGUUAUUUAGGUGAGCGCUAAAGAUUCUUCUGCCUUUGUUGUUCCUUUGGGCCCUGUCCCAGAUACCUUUUUACUUUAUGUUCUAUGGAACUUGACACAGAAGGCCAUGGUGGGGGCCGGGGGAGGGGGUUGGGAGGGAGUGUUUGUAUGGACUGGUUUAAAUUUCCCUGGUGGAGGGUGGAGGUGAUGCAGUCUCCUUGCCCUUAGGAAUUUCCAGGAGGUGGGGCAGGGAGGAAGGAAGGGAUUACACAACACCAGUUUAUGUAAUGUUGAGGCAGCAUUGAGUCCAUAUUAGAGCCAGUGGUGAGACCUGCACCUUUGUUGAGAGCUUGUCCCAGAAGCUGCCAAGUAUCCUGGAUCUGUGAUGGGGUGAGCAUUUUACUGCAACAAGGAGAGACCCAGCUGGCUCCCAGCUCUAGCAGGAGCUAGGGAAGGCUGUCAGUGAGGGCAGGUGGUGGAGCUCUUUGGGAGGAACUCUCAUAGAGAGGGCUUGUGGGGGGUGGGAUCAGAACACUUCACCAAGAGAAUCAGCUGCGUGCAUCCAAGGAUCUGCCUUAGCAUCGAGACCUGGGGAACUUGGUUGGCCAUUCAUGCCCUGGGGGACCUGGCAUCCCUCACCAGACCCCAGAGGAGGAGAGAAGAGUUGGAAGGGAGCAGAUGUUCAUUUCUAGAAGUUCAUCCAAAAGAUCUCACUAACUGGGGUGAGAGCUGUCAUCAAGUACAAUAUCAUGUUCACAUGUUCCCUGCCCCAUUUCUCAAGGAGUGGUGGACUCAAAAAUAUGUUCAAGUAGCUACAGGGGAUAAAACCCCAUGUUUUCCUCGUCCCUCUGAUGAUACAUUUUCUCAGGAACCUGCAGACACUGUUGAGGAUGUGUAAUAGAGACAUAAAAGAAUAAAAUCCGGUCAGCUGUAAUAGCAAGUGGGCCCCGAGUAACUGAAUGCUGGGAAAAGAGCUUGAGGUAAAGUGGGAAGAGUCACUGUGGGAGAGGUAUGCGGGUCGAUGAACUAAAACUAAAACCCUGCCGAUGUCGACAACGCUGGGGCUGGACAACAAGAUCAACUGUUCUCUACAUUUUGACCAGUUGCGGCUUUCUGAAAUGGGGGUCUGUCUGUUCUAGAUGAUUAACAGCCGCCUGUGGGAGGGAGGAGUCCCUCAGGGAUAAACCCCUAAUUGGUUGCUAAACACCAAGUGGUUAGCCCUAAAAACAUAUACAUACAAACAACAUUAAAUGGACUCAGCAGGUUGAAUUUACAUAUUAAUUUAUAUAUAUGUAAAAUAACAAUAUUCCAAAAGAAGUAAUGCAUUUGAGAAGGAGCAGGGAACAUGGGAAGGGUUGGAAUGAGAAGGGGGGGAUGAUGUAAUUAUAUUUUAAUUAAAAAUAAACUUAAAAAAAGCCUUUCACUUUGCUGUUAUUAAAAUGGAAUAAUAGCCAAGUCCAUUUUAUUGCAGUAUAUAUGAUAGAGAGUGGAGUAAUAUUUUCAUUUUCCCUCCAUGUGGCUACAUCUGCUUUACAUUUUCCCUCUCACCAGAAGUGUUUUUCUUUGGGAACCACACAUAAAAAGUCCAGUGGUGACCCUUGAAAAAAAAGAUCUCUCUUUAAAGAAAAAAAAAAAAAAGAAGCGGGACAGAUUGAUCGUUUACUUUUGCCCCCCAAAGUCUUAUGCAUUUUAAGUUUUAAAGCAAGAUUUUUUUUGAGUGGGGGAUUCAUUAUGACCUCACCAUGUCAAACGAUUUGCCAGCUCAGAAGCCCAAGCUGCUUCUCAGCACCAAAUCCCUUAGAAGUUUCCUCCCAGCCUGUGUGCUUCAAGACACGUCUGUCUUCUGCAGAAGAUUUGUAAGGAAAUGUGUUCAGGUCCCAUGGCUGUGAAAAAAAGGAGAGCUUUGUAUCUGCUUGGAGGUGGGGGUGGAGACGAGAGUAGAGUUAGAGGGGAGGCAUGUUGACUCCCACCCACUGUCAAAUCCACAGCCCCUCCCAUUUCCCAUCUUUGGUUUUGGUGACCUUUUGCUCCACAUUUUAAACUCUAUCACACAUCUGCCAUGACACAACACACCCCGUGUACUUGGUGGGUGUUUAAAACAAUGUCAAAAUGUCUCACGUGCCAGGAAGGUUGAGACCAGCUGGCCAGUGGCCAGAGCCCUUGCUAACUGUGUUGUUACUCCCUCGCUGAUGGGGGUCGUUGGAAUUGCUGGUAUGCCCCAGUUUUGAGAGAAUGGGUAAUCCAAGAAAGCACGGCUAUAGGUGACAAUGUCUGUUGUCCGACCCCGCGUCUGUUGAAGAAUCCCACUGGGUCUGAAUACCAGCAACUCAGGAAAAUUGGGGUCAUCUUUGAGACUGGUACCCUAACUCACCUUUCAGCCCCUAGUGCUUUCCAUGGGUACAAUGGAAUAUUUUUUUAACCCAACCUCCCCCUCCUUCAUGAGUUUCAUCUCACAAAAAUCCUCACCCAGGCAACUCCAGGGUGACAUCGAGUGAUUAGGCUGCUGGGGUCAAGUUCUUCACGUCGGAGUGUUUGUGCAGGACAGGCAGAAGGUAACUGCCGCAGGCCCUCUCUGUCCACACCCAGAUAGUUGUUCCAAAGCCUGCACAGGACACGUUUUUAAAAUGCACCCGGAAGAAGACUUCUCUUCUGGUUCACCGGAAGCAGCUCUCUACUUGCUUGCCCAUUGUCUCUAUCUUUGCAUGAUUCUCAUUGGUGGUUUGCACCUUGUCUUGUGAUUUUCCAGGUAUCUUGCCGGAAGAUGUCUGAAAGUUCAGAGACCAUUUUUCAUUUGGUAUCCUCUCUGUCGCUUGUAGUCCAAGGAGCUGGGGGUGGGGUGGGGUGGGCCGGGGCUGGAGGCUGAUUCAGCCUUGUGAAUCUCCUGCUUAAAUGGGCAAGUUCUGUAGGACAGAUGUCAUGUUUACAAGGUCUUCAGAAUAAGCCUCUCUUCCUUCACUCCAGACAGCUGCUAAGCCUGGAAGAGGGCAGUGUCUUUGUAACCCGAGGGAGCUUCCUGCUGUUUGCCUCCAGGCGGUUCUCAGAGAUGCUGGCAGAAGGGUGUGGGGGUGGGGACGGAGGUGGCUGUUUGUAAAUGCAGUCGGGGAGGCUUCAGAGUGGGCUCCCGGAAAGAUCUCUAAGGUCUCUGCUCAAGAACCAUUUCUGCAGUUUCCUUUGCAAACUUGGAAAGGCCGGAGAUUUUACAAACAUAACAGUCUCAGACCUCCACACAGCUUUUCCUUCAGCGUGUCUCUGCCCCACCAGCUAGAUGUGUUAGUGGUUCAAACUCCAGCUGCUUACCUUAGUAUAUUAGUGAUUUCUUGGGGGACAUGACGAUGUGGUUAGGCUUUCUGCCUCUACACAGUUUCUUAAAUAGUCUCUCUUCAGCUCCCAUGUGUCCUUACUGGCGACUUUUCAAACAUCACCAAAGCUUUGCAACCACCCCAAAGCCCGUGAGCUACAGCCCCCCACGUCUGCCUUGGCAUCUGCCUGCUGUUCGAUCAGUAGGGUGUAGGUGUGGUCAGCUUUCUGUCACUGGGAUAAAAAUCCCAGAGAUAGGAUGAUGAAAUUUAUGAGGCGGAAAGAUUUAUUUUGGCUCAGAGUUUCAGAAGCUUCAGUCUGUGGCUGCCUGGCCCCGUCGUUUGUGGGCCUGUGGCAAUGCAGAAAACGUCAGGGCAAGUUGCUUGUGGCAGAGAUUAGCUGUGGACCUACCUUAUAUGGGCGAGAGGUAGGAGGGAGGGUUAGGUCUAAGUUCCUCUAUCCCCUUCAGUUGCAUGCACCUCCGUGAGAUGACUUUUUUUCACUCGGCGGCACCUGCAACCUACAAGUUUCCCAAAAGUGUAACUAACACGUUGUUGACUAAGUCAUCCCUUCAGCACAUGGAGACUCAAGAUCUACAUCAGAGUGCCCACUUUAGGCUUUUUUUUUCUUGGCAGUAGCAUCCCACUUGUGAGACUUAUUUCUUAUUUUGACAACAGUUACCUAGAGUUCGGUGCUCCCCCAUGAGAAGAGUCGCUUAUUGUCGUUAGUGCCCUUGGUGUGCCUGGAAUUAAAGACUUGUGGACUGUGUGGUGCUGUCUGUUUGUGAACACUUCCUGAAGUUUAAGGCAUCAGCUGAGGCAGCGAUGGGAACAUCUGUGUGGGACACCCACAUCCAUUUUCCAGAUCAUCUGGAAACUGGUCCUAGCUGUCCCAGGAACCCUUAGCUCCUUGAUUCCUGGGUCUCUCCACAGGGCUGCUGCUCAGAGCGCCUCACAGCCCAGCAGAGGUGAUUUGAUUUGUAUGACCUGAACUUGACCUGGAAACCACACACUGUCAUUUCUGGCCCUUAGUGAAGGACAGGGUGGCACCGUGACACAAAUGGCAGAGCACAGGAACACUUGGGCUGUAUUGUGUGUGUGUGCACACACACAUCAGGGAAGGAGAGAAGGAAAACAUAGUCUCAGACACAUGUGGAAAUAGAGAAUUGCCCAAAACCUCAAGUGUUUAAGCCUUUGCCCCCUGUUCAUUCCUGAAAUGGGUAGGAACUGAAUUUUGUGGUUACACUUGGUCAGCCUUUGCUAUGUUUUUUGUUUGUUUGUUUGUUUUGAGGGUUAAUAUUCAAAAUAUUUAACAACUGGUGUGACAUGGGCACAGAUGUAGCAAUUGAGACAAGGCCACCAGAAGUAUCAUAUUACACUUGGGCUUGUGCUUGUGACAAUAUACUGCUUAGUUUUUGAGGGCGAAAGUUUUUUCAUGAAUAGUCUUAGAGAAGUCACACUUAUGCCAGUGGCCACUGCUCAUUGUUCCUGCUCUGUAUGUUCUCUGACAAUAAUUUGCUUAGAAAUCCUUCUGGCAAUGGCCCACAGGAUGAAGGAUAUCCUUCCCUUCCCUUCCCUUCCCUUCCCUUCCCUUCCCUUCCCUUCCCUUCCCUUCCCUUCCCUUCCCUUCCCUUCCCUUCCCUUUCCUUUCUUUUUUUCUUUUUUUUGCUAUUAAAAAUGUUGCUGGGAAAUUACACAUGCCUUUUUCUUAGUGGGGUUGUGCAAGAAAUACAAGGGCAGAACAGUUCUUGAAUACCAGAGCAUGCAGGUUUUCAAUUUUAGAAAGAAAUGCAAAUUCUUUUUUCAGAUAGACACAAACUUAGAUCCCCUACUGUGUAAAAUAAUUUUCAUGGCUGAAUGUCAAUUUAAUUUUUCCUUAGUAGAUUUGCCACAGCAUCUUGUGUUUUCUUUUAAUUUUUAAUUCUUGAAUUUUUAGUGAGGAUGAUCAUUUUGAUAAAUUUGGUUUUGCUCUAUCUUUCUUCCUUUUUUGAAUGCCCGUUUGCGUCUUUGAUCUAUUUUUCCAUUGUUAUUUCUUCUCCCCUCCUGACCUACAGUCUGCUGUGCAUGUUAUUUUAUGGGCCUAGAUAACUCUCAAAACCAAACUCAGAUGAUUCCAUGGCAACUUCAAAGCCUACUACGAGAGUGACAAGAUUUACCAUUACAGCCAUUCCCCCUCCCACCCUUACUUGUUCCAACAACAUCUAAUGGUUAAUUGGGUGUUUAUUUACAUUUAAUGUGAUGAUGUUAGUCUUUUUGUCUAAUCUAGACAAGAGUUCCUCUUCCGAUUUUUGGUCUUUGUUAAUUUAGCUGAGGAUUUAAAACAGAAACAAAGACCUUCAACCUUCAGGCUUGUGUGAUCAGCAUUAUUUUGGCUAGUGCUUACGGUUUAUCUUAUACUAGUCUACCGUCAAACAACACGGAACCUUCAUGCAUUCGGCAGCAACCCUUGCAGACCUCUUGUCUCCCACUCCAUCCGGUAGAGCGCUAACCACAAAUGUGACGGGAAGUAACUUGGGAUCCAUGAGCUCAUGGUGGUGGAACUAUCAGGAUGGGGUUAGUGUCCUUACAAGACGCCAGAGAGCUUGCUGACUCUCUUACUCUGCAACAUAACUUCCUGGAGAGGUCACAGGCUCUUCAUACAGAGAGGAGUUGGCUGCCUGCAGGCCAGCAAGGGGCCCGCAGCAGGAUCCAGACCUCUAAUAUUCUGAUUAUGGAUUUCUAGCCUCCAGAAAUUUAAGAAAAAUAAGUCUCUGCUGUUGAAAUUCAGCCUGCCUAUACUUGUCUAUACUCGUUGACUCUGGUUUGUGAGCGGAUGAUGCAGACAACUGCAUCCUGAUACUUUUUUUUUUUUUUUUUGUCUUCAGUUUUUUUCUGCCAUCAUGGUAGAUUCGAUGAUUAGGGAUGCUCUAAGUUUUACAGUGAGUCCUAUUUCUGCUUUGAACACUCAGUUAUUUUCCAGGGAGCUGACAAACCUGGGAAAUCAUGUCACAUGAAGCUAGAGGCUUUGCAAUUUAUUUCUGGUCUUCGUUGCUUCAGUGUAGAGCCAGGUUCCUACAACUGUGCCAUUGCCCUUCUGACUAGAGGAAUUUACCUUGUCUAUCAGAUUGCUCUGGUGAUCAAUUCCUUCGGCUUUGUUUUUUACAUUUUAUUUUUUCUUGGAUAUUUUAUGUAUUUACAUUUCAAAUGUUAUCCCCGUUCCCCCUUCUCCCCCUGCUCCUGUGAGGACGCUCCCACGACCACCUACCCACUCCCACCUCAACUCCCUGACAUUCCCCUACCCUGGGGAAACGAGCCUUCACAGAACCAAGGGCUUUCCCUCCUAUUGAUGCUGGACGACGCCAUCCUCUGCCACAUAUGUGGCUGGAGCCAUGGGUCCCUCCAUGUGUACUCAUUGGUUGGUGGUUUAGUCCCUGGGAGCUCUUGGGGGGAGGGUCUGGUUGGUUGAUAUUGUUGUUCUUCCUAUGGGGUUGCAAAUCCCUUCAGCUCCUUCAGUCUUUUCUCUAACUCCUCCAUUGGGGUCCCCAAGCUCAGUCCUACAGUUAGCUGCAAGCAUCCUCAUCUGUAUCAGUAAGGCUCUGGCAGAGCCUCCCAGGAGACACCCAUAUCAGGCUCCUGUGAGCAUGCCCUUCCUGGCAUCAGCAAUAGUGACUGGGAUUGGUGUCUGCAUAUGGGAUGGAUCCCCAGGUGGGGCCAUCUCUGGAAGACCUUUCCUUCAGUCCCUGCUUCACUCAUUGUACCUCUUUCAGCAUUUUUUUUUUUUUUUGUUUCUUUAAGCUGUUGUAUGACUUAAAACCUCUCCACUUUGCCUUUGGUUUUGAAAGAUACUUGCUGUGGAGGGAGCAAGGUAGACUGUAUCUUUGCCCUCUGCCUGAAUGUAACUGUUCUGCAGGCUUUCCUAGCGAGCUGCUGGGAACUUAUGUUUUUAUGAGUCUGGCUCCUUUUAGAGCAGUCUGUUACUGGCUUUGAGACAUUUGAGGGUGCUGUGGUGAUGAAGAGGUCAGUCGAGCUUCUUAGCUCUGUGAGUUGAGUGGUUUUCAUGAAAAUUGGAAAACAUUUUGGCCAUCAUUUCCUCAUUGUGUGUGUGUGUGUGUGUGUGUGUGUGUGUGUGUGUGUGUGUGUGUGAGAGAGAGAGAGAGAGAGAGAGAGAGAGAGAGAGAGAGAAACUUAUUGGGACUUUGCUUAGCUUUUUUUGUCUUUUUUGUGUCUUUGUGUCCUUCUGUUAUUUAUCAAAGCCCACUGAUGUCGUUUGUGGCAAUGGCUCGCUGGUGGUCUAUAUGUUUUAGUUGAAAAUGUGCUUGGUGAUUAUAGAACCACGUGAUGUUGUGAAUCAUGGCUGAUUAUCCCCAUACUUUGUUCAUUGCUCAACGAUGGCAACAUCUUAAUAGAUGACAGUCUAGAACCCCAAAUGACACGGACAGAGACACAACUCCUACCUAGUGGUCUUCAGAGUUCUCCCCACCCCCUGACCCCCGUCAGGGGGCUGCUUGUGUUCCAUUUUUAUCUUUCCUCUAUGGCUUCAGAUUUCCCAAGCCCAAGCCCUAGAAACCACUCUUCUGGGAUUCUGUCAUUUCAGGGUGUUUUGUUCAUGCAGCCGACACAUUCACGCCAUGGUACUUGGAGACUAGCCAUUGCACUCAGCGUAACUGCCUGGAAAGUCUCCUUGGCUAGCUGCAACUCCGAGUUCUUUUUGUUUUCUUUUGAGAGAGGGUCUCAUGUAGCCCAGGCUGACCUCCAUCUUGCUAUGUAGCUGAGGCUGACCUUGAGCUUCCCAUCCUCCUGCCUCUACCUACCAAGUGCUGAGAUUGCUGGCAUGUACCACCAGGCCUUGUUUCUGUGGUACUGUUUUUUUUUUUUUUUUUAAAAACAUGAUGCCCAAACACUUUACCAACUGAGCUACAUCCCCACCUCCUAUCGAGGAUGCUUUAACCUCAGGCGCUAUAAAUUUUCAGCUAUAGAAAAAAAUUCCAUAUGAACCUUUUGAAAAUAUUUUUUGUGUUUUCUUUUUUCAGUAUCCAUUUUCAAUCCUUGUCAAAUACUGACUGACUUUAUAAUUAAAAGUCCGAAUUACUGGUAAUAAGAGGAACCGAAGCUAAGGAGAAAGAAUGGUUUACUCCGAUGCUGGCAUGGGUUAGAGAAGUAUCCGGUGCUAAGAGCUGGUGCGGGAGGGACAUGGGGGUAGUGGCUGGAGAGGAGACGCUGACUGGGUUGUAACGGAAGCAACGUGGCAGUGCUGCUUCUGACUCAAAGAGCUUUCAACUGUUCAUUCUGUGGCAGGAGGUGUGUUGGGACAGUUUCCUGAAGCGCUGUUGUAGGAGUCGGGGUUGAGGCCAGCUUGGUACCUGCUUGGCCUACUGGGUGAGUGUCAUGAAUGGCUGAGCCACCGUGGUGUCCUUGUGAAUUCCUUAGAUGGGGGUUAGAGGGAUGCAUAAUAUGGAUAUAAAAGCAUUAGAACUCAGGGGAAAAAUGGGGGGGAUGGGACCCAUCACAUAAUAUCCCUGAAGAAUAUGUCGGAGGAUAAAAAACACAUCAAAGGGACUCGCAGUUACUUGUCAAAGAAUUUGUUGACUUGGUCCACUGAUGCCCCUGACCUGGAACCUAAGACCCAGAAAUCUAACUGGAUGGAUAGCAAGUCUUAGCGGGAGGGAGUCUGUGGGUAACCGAAUCUCCUGGGUCAGAAGGAUAUAAGGUGGGUGCUCUGAAGUGAUGUAGCCUUAGGAGUUUUUACCGUGGCCAUCCACACUCUGUUCAGGUGCCGAGGACAUGUUGAUUUUCUUCCCCUUUUCUGCCCCUGAUAGUUUCCCUUUCUCCACGUUGCCUGCUCUGUCUUCCUGGCUUGUCAUUGAGGUGGACAAAUUGUGCUUGACUCUCCCUUCAGAGAGUCAAGCACAAUUCCUACCUAAUCCUCUGAGCAACAGAGCAAAAGCAAUGGCACCCUGCAGAGCUCCCUCCCUGGUUUAUUUCGCUUCUAUGAAGCAUCUCUUAGAGCAAUUUUAUCAAAGAAAAAAAAAGUAUACGGGGCAGUGCACUGAGGCUCUCAGAGCUGAUUUCGUGCAUAUUCUGGAGUAUUCUAAGGUGAAGUGGUAAGCAUUUUGGACACAUUGCCCCACUCACCGACUUCCAGCAGUCCGCACUGUUGAAAGGGUUAUAUUUAGUGACCUUACUUAAAGAAAAUUAAAAAAUGAAAACUGUGAGCUUUGGAAGAAUCUUAGGCUUACAUGCAUAUUUGAAAGAAGAGUUUCUAUACAUCCUUCGUUCGUUUGUCCCAAGCGCUAACGUUUUACAUUCGUGUUGGGCAUUUCCCAAGUUUAGGUUCUGACCUGAGUAUCUUGCUGCUCACCCCAGGCUUUGUUUAGAUGCUACCAGGGUGUUCUGUUAAUGUCCCUUUUCUGUUUCAGUGUCCCACCCGUGGGCACCGGGUGGAGUUAUUUGUCAUAUCUUUUGUGACCCUGCAAACAUAGGCACUUUUUCAGUUUUUAUCUCUUUAAUGACCCUGUCAGUCUUGGAGAACAAAUAGUCCAGGCUUCCUGUAGUCUGCCCUCCACUCUUGGCUUUUGUUCAUAACCUGGACUCAGGUUAUGGGUAUUUCCAAAGGGAUGCAUGUAACAGGGAUGAAGUGUCAUAGUCCAAGACCAAGGACAUCCGUGUAUACCUUUUUGGCCGAAUAAGAUAUUUUCGUUUCUCCCGAGUCCUUCUCUAGAAAGGAAGAUUGCAGGUCCUACAGAAGUUGUGUUGUUCGUUAUGAAGAGCCACCCGUUAUGAGGAGCCACCAAGCUGUUCUCUCUGCUGUACUGCCACCAACAACGCAUACAGGUUCCAGUUUCUCUACAGCUUGCUUGAUGUUGUCACCUUCGUUGAAUGACAGCUGUCCCAGUGGGUGGCCGAGUACCAUGUUUUUGCUUUUGUCUCCUGUUGCUAAAGGCACUGAACAGCGGUUACUGUGACCAUUGGCCACUUGCAGAUCUUCUUAGCAGGUACAUUGUCACCCAGGCACUUUGGCUGUUUGAGAACUGGGCUGUUACUAAGUUGUAUGAAUUCUUUAAAAUAGCCUGGACGCAAGCACCUUGCGAGAGAAACGCUUGUUCCGUCUCGGUCCCUCGGUCGCAGCUUUACAUGUUAAGCUUGCAUUCUUGUGCACUGGUUGAAUUCAGGUUUUUUUUUUCUCUUCUCCUUUUUCCUACCAUGUGUGCUUUGGAUACUGUACCAGAAGUUGCUGAGUUUUGCUGCUGCGCUGGCUUCUAGGAGCUUCCUACAUCCAGGAGACCCGUUUAAGUGGGCUUUCGAAAAGGACCCAGUGUCCACUUGGCGUUGGCUUUUGCAUAUUGUGUGAAACUGGGACCCAGGUUCAUCUUUCCGUGUGCUUUCCUUGCACGUGGGUGCCGCUCCUGGGCGGUUCAACCUCAGCCUCUUAAACACUGCCCCCGUGAAAGCUCUAGAUUUUCCUGACUGUGCGCUCUGCUCUGGCCGGCUUGGCAGGCACCUAGGACAGACGGGAGGCUAUUUGGACAUUCCUGUUGGGGUUUGUCUUCCUCAUGUACUUCCUUCCCCACUUGUAUGCAGUGUUAAUCUUCAUUUUCCAGUAUUUGGAGCCGGCGAUGCCGUGGCUUUCUGCUUGAGGUUUAGUUUCUUUGUGCUGCGUAGGCCCUCGCGCACACCGGCAGCGAAUCGUGUCGAUGUAGCUCUUACCUCACAUGUCUGGCUUCUUUCAGGGAUCAAGUCAUCUCUAUUUUUUGCCUCCUUUUUGGGGGUGUUUAUUCUAUAUUUUCCUUCAGAACAUUUUAUUUUUCAUUUUAAAAGAAUAUAAAGGCUAUAAUCUCAGCUCCUGGGCUGGUAAAAAAAACAAAAACAAAAACAAAAACAAAACAAAAAGAGAAAAAAACAAACCACUACUAGCCUCAGAGAGACACUGUCACCUUUCAUAGGAUUUUAUUUCGCGAUGAUAAUUUUCUCAGUAUUGUUUUUUGGGGAAAUUGUCUCAAACUUCCAUUCGUGUUUCAGUGCGCUCAUAAUAACUCUCUUCGUUGAAAUGCUACUAUAGAGUUGUAAACGUCUCUGUUCAGGGCGAACGCGUCUGGCUGCCACCUCACUGCCACCUGCUCGUGUGUCCUCUGUCUUAGUCUGAAAGUCUGAAAUGAACUUUUAUGUUCCUGGGCCAGCUGGACAGUAUUCAUCCUUAGCCUUGGGAUUUCUGUCAUGUUUCAAUGCCCUGGUCACCGAUGAUUUUGACUUGCUUCCUCUGUUGUACAAAGAACAGCCUGUUCCACAGUUCUGUGGUAAUUGGUCCAGAGUAGGAAAAAUAUCUGAGGUCUUACAAAGAUUCUCAGAGGAUGUCUUUCCUUCCUUUGGACUGAUAGUCUGGGCAGCCAGAAAGAUUAAAUGAUUUGGGACCAUAGUCCCGAGUAUUUUGUGUUGUCACUUUGUCUUGUAGAAACUGGUGGGUUUUUUUAUUUUGUUUUGUUUAGGACCUUGAUAAGUGAUUAUUCUUGAUUAUUUUUUCCCCUGGGGUGGGGUGGGGGACUUCAGAUUUGUGUGAAAUUUCGAAAGCCUGUGAUUUCUAGUUGUUUAUUUUUUCUCUCUGUAUCAUGUAGCCAUUUUCCCAUGUCCUCUCACUGUUCCUGGCAGGGUCCCUGCCGCUUGGCAAUUUUUUUUUUUUCUGUCAGUUUGGUGGUGCUAAUUUCUUUUUCUUUUUCUCUCACAGCCUGUCGAUUUCAUUCGAGCAAUUUGCUCUUGUGCUGUAUCGGCGUAGCGCUUUGCGGCCCUGGGACCCUUCGGCAGCUUUCUCUGGAGCGGGGGCAGACGGUUCUAGGUCUCUGCGGUUUACUAUGCGCAGGGUGCUGCCCUGAAGAAGUUCUUCCUUGUUUAGUUCUGCUUUCUUAUCCGGCAUGUAAUAAACAGACAUUGCUGGCUUUUCUUGUAUGAAGGAUGGUUUUGCUUGUUGUUCUCGGCAAGCAUUAUCUAGCGCCCUGGUUAGACCUGUCUGUCGCUCAGUGCUACUUUCUCUGGAUUUGUAUCGCCAGGGCUCGUCCUCACCUUCUUUCAGGUGGUUUGUUGUUCUGUACUUGUGGCUGGCUGUUUCAUGUCUCUGGUUGAUUGUUCUGCUGCCAGUGUCUUGUGUACGAGAAAAACUUCUAUUUCCCCUUUCUUGCCAUGUCUUUGGCUGUCUGGGUAUUAGGUAAUGAUGGAUUCCCACUUUGAGUUCAAAAGGAGUCCCCUUUGCUACUAUUUGCUGAAGGAAUUAUGGAAAAUUGGUGUCAUGGCCUCCUUAAAUUUUUGGAAGAUUUCACCAGUGGGUAUGCAUGCUUUCUGUUUUACAGGGCCUAUUAGUUGUUGAUUUCUGCUUCUUUAAUUGACAAGGGACCUGUUUUUUUUUUUAAUUCAUAAAUAUCUCUAGAUUGUGCUUUUCAAGGAAUUGGUCUAUUUCUCUUGGGCAUAGACUUGUUCAGUCCUUCAUCCAACCCUGUUUUCUCUUUGUAGUGCUGGAGAUGGAAUCCAGGGGAGCAUCACACACGAAAAUUGAGCGCUCCGUCUCUGAGCUAUAAUUCUAGUCCUUCAUUAUCCUCGUGAUGCUCAUGGAGUCAGUACUGAUGUCUUCCUUUUUCAUUUCUGAUAUCAGCGAUUCGUGUCUUAAGAUAGCCUGUGAGAGGCUUAAGUUAGCUUGCGAGAGGCUCGUCAGUUUCAUCGAUUUCUUUAACAAACCCAACGUCUUUUGUGUGUGGUUGUCUCUCUCGGGCACUGGUUUGUGAUAUCCGGCUUCGUUAACUUCUGCUCUCACUUGGUUUUCCUUUGAUGGCUUUGGAAGAAGGAAACAAGUGAUCUUUGUUGUUUGCAAGAUAUACAUUGAAUGUAUGCGUGGCUCCACUAUAGCCUGUAAUUUAAUAGAUUGUGUUUUUUAGUUUGUUGAAAACAUAGAGCUCCCUUUUGGGAUUUUCUUUUUAACCCACGUGUUAUUGUGCUUAUUUCCAUGUGUAUGGUCCUGGGACUUGGAUCCAGAGCCUUACACAUGCUAGACAGGCAAUCUACCACUGAGCUGCAGCUCAGCCCUGUGCCAUGUAUUAUUCAGAUGUGAUAUACCUUUGGAUUUCCCAAAUGCAUUUGGAUUCUUGAUCAUUAUAUUAACUCUGUUGUCUGAGGACAGACAUAUGAUCUAUGACUUUGAACUUUGCCUAAGGUAGGUUUUAUAGUUCAGAAAGCGGCCUCGCUUGGUGACUGUCCCUUCUGAGUUUAAGAGCACUGUGCUCUCUGCUGAUGGAUAAAGAUUUCUGUAAAUGUCAGUUGGAUCCGGUUGAUUGAAAUUACCAUUUAAUUCCACUGAAUUCUGAUCUACUCCUGAUUAUUAUGUUCAGUUAGUAGUAGUGUGAAGACCAUUGAUGUCUCCCACUGUACGAAUAGGUUCAGACAUGCCUUCCGGUAAACCCGCUCUUUAUUUUUUUGAGACAGGGUCUUGCUAUGUAGCCCAGGCUAACCUGGAACUCACUAUGUAGCCUAGGCUGGCCAAAGAUCCUCCCCUCCCCCCAUCUUCCUGCAUGCUGGGAUUACAGGUGUGCACCAUAAUGCCCCAAACAGCUUCCUAUCGAUCUUAACCUUCUGUAUUCUGAUGUUUUCUCAUUAUACUGAUGGACACAAAAGACUGUCUUGUUGAACUUCAUCUUUUAUUACUAUAGAAUGCUCCACUUUGUCACUGACAACUUUCUUUGCUUUGAAGCCAGCUUUGAGGUUAAUUCAGCAACUCCAGCCCUCUCUUGAGUAGUGCAAUCGCCACAAAUCAGUUUUAGCUUUAACAUAUCCAUGCCCUUGUUAAAGGAGACUUUGUGAGUAUGUGUGUGUGUUUUGCUGAUACUAAGUCUUGGUCUCUGUGUCUCUGUCACUGUGUAUCUCUGUGUCUCUGUCUCUCUCUCUAGCAUUGGUUGAUAGAGAUUUCAGUAAUACCAACUAACUUCAGGAUCUGGACUCAGCUCUCCUCUGACUCCAGAUCUUACGACUUGUCUUUCCUGAGCCCUUGGAAGUAAGGGUUCUGUAAGGGAUGAUCCAGGUCAGGUUGAAUCACUGGAGCUUUACACACUGUUGUUGCUGCACUUUCUCUCUUGCUCCAAAAGUGCGCUGCUAAGGAGAGAUUUGGAAAUGCUUGUGGGGUCUAAUGUCAUAGAAUCACUGUGCUUUAUAGCGCCAAUAGAUUCAAACCAUUCUCCUAGACCCUUCUUGAGAUCCCUCUCUGUCGAGAGGAAAGGCAGUAUCUCAUUUGCAGCCUGCAGUAAGGCUGUCGUCCUAGCCAUACAUCGAUCCAGGUGUUGUUUAAUCAUCACGUAGGCGAGCAUUUGGGCAUAUGAUGCUACCAUAUGAAGGUCUUUACCAGGGGAUUUAAACUUAGUUGACAAGAGGCCAAGGAGCAGACUUACACCCCAAGGCUGUGAGUUGAGCCAGUGCACAGAGGCUCUGGGCUGAGACAUGCUAAGGUGAGUUGCAGAUUCCCCAUGACCGGAUUUCCCUAUCGUCACCACGAGAGUCUUGAAUCUGCCUUCAGUUUGCUUAGAGCCACUGUGAACCAUCUUUUCAGAUGACUCGAUAGCUAAUCCAAUCACUAGCGUUCGACCGUGGCCGAGCAUUGGAAAACAACUCGAGUGAAGUGACUGUGUGCUCCUUGAUCCCAUCCACACGGGAAGCACUGCAGUCUCACCAGCCAAGCUGUCUUUCGUCUGAACACUCCUGCAGCGGAUAACGCCUCCUGCAAGCCUGGAAUCAGAUAGCACACGAAGAGUAGGCUGGGCAUUUUCUAUUGCUGGAUGGGGUGCAGAGCCGUCUGGAACAUUACGAUACAGUGCUCUGGCUUGAAGAGUGAAGAUUUCCUUAUUUGAAUAAAGCUUGAUCCCACUGCA
Rattus norvegicus (Norway rat) is the source of this 32002-nucleotide non-coding RNA. The record is from RefSeq and is a predicted model, not a curated record. NCBI's taxonomy places the organism in Eukaryota, Metazoa, Chordata, Mammalia, Rodentia, Muridae.